AAGACUUUAAAGAUUUGAGUCCUAAAAAUUUUAUGUAAGGUCAUUGCAAAUAUUCGAUUUUUCAAUACAAUGCUCUAGGAUAUAUUUUUUUGUGCAUUUAACAUGAUUAUCUAUUCAUGCAUGCUUUAAGUUAUGAUAAAAUAAUACUUAUCUUAUUGUCUGAAUUAAUUGAUUUAUGAUUGCCAUGUGUUAAAUGAGAGUCCUGAUAAUUCUAUAUACAUGUGCACUAGUGUUGUUGGAAACUUAAAAGUUGUGGCUGUCAAGAGUAAUGAUUAUUAUCAAGAGUCAUGAUUGUUUAAAACAUCGGUAUUCUCAUAUUUUAUUUAUUGGCUCAAGAUAAACUUUGCAUAAUUUACAUAACUACCACUCCUAUAUUUAAUGUGAUAUCUUUCAUGUUGCUUGUACUUCAGAAGUGAUAUAUAUAUUGGAUGUGCAUUGAGAUAAGAGGCAGCAGACGUUAACAGUCAUAAUUAAUAUAGGAAGUUGAAAAGUCUAUGCAGAGAACAUAACCUAUAUAAAUUUGUUUCUUACUGGAUCAUUUUUUAAAGAGUCCAACAAAUAUCUGUUACAAUUGAAGAUAUCUUGGAUUGUUUAUCAGUAUAGUUCUAACGGAAAUAUUUGUUUUCAACGUAAAUAUUUUUAUGCAUCGGAACUCUAUAAGCAACGGUAAUAAAUUGGGCUAUAAAAAGAGAACUGAGAUAUCAGUGAAACACACAACAUUUGAAUUAAUUUUUGCACUCAUAUACUUGAAAAUCUAUUCCACUAUUCUUGGUGCAAAUUUUGAGCUGAUGUGCAAUUCAUAUUCAAAUUACUCUCAGUUAAUUUUCGUGAGCUUAAUAUUGGUGAUAUCUCUCUCUUUUACUACUUGAUCAUUACAUUCAUUAGUUGGGCCUUGCAUUGUUAAAUUGCUUAUUUGCUUUGAUCAUUAGACCUCUAUAUUUGUAAUCAUAUAUUUUUAGACUAAGUGUUGUCUAAAGGAAUUUAAUCCAGUUGGAUUAAGGGUUGGUGCUUAAGGGGUGCAUUGGUGCACAAGGAGCAAGUGUGCUCUACUGAAUAAUUAUAAUUCAAAUUUGAUAGAAUCUGUUUUGUAACAAGAGUCAAUUUAAAGAAUAAAAGUGAGUCUCCAAUACUAGUUAAUAUUGGACGUGGACUAGGCUAUUAUUAUAGAGGGUAAUAGUUGAACGUAAAAAAUCUUAGUGUUGAUUUUAUUACAUGCUUUACUUUAAUUACUCACAAAAACUAGUUAAUUAUCUAAAUAGUUAGAAUUUAAAUAUUUGCAUUGUCUUGUGAUAAUUCAUUAACACCAAAUAUUUUUACUAAGUUAUAAUUUCAGCAAAAUAUUUUCAUAAAAUCAAAUAGUCAAUUCGGCAGGUCAUAUUCAUUCAGCAAGUUGCAUUGAUCAAUAUAAUAGGCUGUAUUCGAUAGUUUGGUUUAAAGUUUAAAAAAUUAGUCAUAAUUUGUACCCACACUUAUUCAACCCCUUCUAAGUGUAGUGUGCCUUAAUCUGCUUGCUUAAAUUCCCAUGUGUGUGGUGAUGUCUUUGGCAUGCUCACCAAAAGAGAUUGCCAGAUUAUGCCUUUCCUUCAACCAUGCAACAUUAAAUUUUGAUAAUUCCAAGUCUUUAAGGCUGUUUUGAAUGAAUGAAUGAGCUUGUGCACCAAGUGACUGUCCUGUAUGAUGCUGAAAUAGUUCGAUUAUAUGAAUGACAGACUCCAUGAGUACCGUCUUAAUGCCAGGCAUGUUGAAUUUACAAUCUGAUGAAAUAUCACCGUACUUGGCAAAUAUUUGCUCAGUUAUUGGUGCAUGGUCCUUGCGCAAUCUCCUCAAGGAGGGUUCUGCCCUUCCGCAUGAUCUAACACAGGAGCCACCAGAUUUUCCUCAGAAGCGAUCAUUUGGCCUCCACCGCCGUGUGUUUCCAGAACCAGUGAUUGUGUCCUAUCCAGAACCAGUGAUCGUGCCCUAUCAGUAGCAUUCAGAAUUUUAUCAAAAAAAUUUCUCACAAUUUUUUUUCUCAGACAUUCUGAUUUUUCUUGGUUUUUUUACAGGCAAAGGCGUAUGCCCAUCCAUACUUGGUGUCAAAUUUACCCUUUCCCUUGCCAGCUUCACACUUUUUGCAGCAAUUAACACACUGCCUCAAAACAAAAGAGUGUUCAUCACACCAUAACCAUCUAAUCCCCCUUCUUCAAACUCAAGAAAUUGUAUCUACAUUAUGUUAAAAACAGGAAUCCAUGCUACUACAAGAUUUUAGCCCCUCUUAUGAAAAAUCCAAGUAUCUACAUCAUAACAAAAUUAAACAAGAAAAUAGCACUUAGUAACGAGAACGAAAGGGUAAACAUCUGAAAGUAAAAAAAUCCAUGAGCACUUCAUCC
RNAcentral lists this long non-coding RNA (2369 nucleotides) under Panax ginseng (ginseng). RNAcentral describes it as "long non-coding RNA (PGIN_LNC015146)". The record is from RNAcentral. Lineage: Eukaryota; Viridiplantae; Streptophyta; Magnoliopsida; Apiales; Araliaceae.